Podarcis lilfordi (Lilford's wall lizard) is the source of this 2428-nucleotide non-coding RNA. The record is from the annotation of a GenBank genome assembly. NCBI's taxonomy places the organism in Eukaryota, Metazoa, Chordata, Lepidosauria, Squamata, Lacertidae.
AACAUUCACUGAGUCCUCUGAGAGGCUGGAGGUGCAACUGGUCAAAACUUGUGCAGGAUGAACCUCUGUCUAUUGGUGAGUUAACCACAGGCAUGCAAAGCAGAUUCUGGAUGGUCAGGCUUGAUUGUGUGUUCUGUUGAAUAAAAAUCUCUCUCUCUCUCUCUCUCUCUCUCUAUAUAUAUAUAUAUAUUUUAUUAAUUUUCCAAUACAUUUGUACAUUUUUAUCCAAAUUAUAACAAAUCUCUUUUGGACUUCCUUCAGCUUCUCUGACAAUCAUCCAUAUUUAUCUCUUAAUUACGCAUUCCCUUUAUACAUAUUGCCAUUUGUCUUCCCUCUCCCUUCUGUUUCUUUUUGACAAUAUCUCUCGGUUUUUACAGCGCCUCUCGAAACCCCACUAGCGUUGUUUGUAUAUCACAUACAUUUUUCAGAUACUCUACAAACUUUCCCCAGUCUUCGAUGAACUUUUGGUCUCGGGCAUAUCUGAUUUUCCCAGUUAGUUUAUCCAGUUCCGCAUAAUCUGUCAAUUUCAUUCUCCAUUCUUCUAUUGUUGGUAUUUCCUCUUGUUUCCAUUUUUGAGCCAAUAAAAUCCUUGCUGCUGUAACUGCAUACUGAAAGAGUUUACAGUCUUUUCUUCUUAUUUCUUUUCCUGUAAUUCCUAAAAGAAAGGCUUCUGGUUUCUUCAUAAAAGCAAAUUUUAACAUCUUUUUUAAUUCAUUAUAAAUCGCAUCCCAGAAACCUUUCACUUUCUUACAUUCCCACCACAUAUGAUAAAAUGUUCCUUCUUUUUCUUUACAUUUCCAACACUUAUUACAUGUCUUAUACAUUUUUGCUAAUUUUACCGGCGUGAUGUACCAUCUGUAGAACAUUUUCAUAACAUUUUCCUUCAACGCAGUACAUGCAGUAAAUUUCAAAUUUUCUUUCCACAAUUUCCCCCAAUCAUCAAAUUGUAUAUUAUACCCAAAGUUUUUGGCCCAUUGUAUCAUUAACCUCUUCGUCUUUCAUGUUCCAUUCCAACAGUAUUUUAUACAUUUUUGACAAAAUUUUAUAGUAAAUUUCAAAUUUUCUUUCCACAAUUUUUCCCAAUCAUCAAUCUGUUGAAUAAAAAUCUCAGUGUGACCCUGGCUGGAGCUCAACCAGCUUGCCUGUGUACUUUUAUUAUUAUUUAUUAAUUUUGUAUACCGUCCUUUAUCCAUAGGUCUCAGCAUGGCAGUGCUGUCCUGAUCUUUAUGGUAUUGCUGUGCUGGUAGGUUCUGAUUCUCGAGCUUAGUUUCAACAUCGUAGUCAAAACAUAGUUAGAAAUGAACUGCAGGGGUAAUGUGCUCUCUCCCCUUCUCUCCUCCCAUACACUGAUUCUCCUUUUUGAUUUGCGGUCAUCAUAGUUUACCUUGGUGUCCAAAAUGGGCAAGUAUUGCUACGGACUGUACCAUAGUUUGCCUUCAAAUCAUAAUUGGGGGAAAUGGUUUGAAGUGGUAUUAUUAUUAUUACUGUUGUUGUUGUUGUUGUUGUUGUUAUUGUUACGAUUAUGGUUUGGAGAAACCAGGAAGAGGGGAGAAGAAGCUGAGAAAGAGGGAGAAAGGAGGACCUGUGUCCACAGCACGUUCCAAAGGGCCAAAGCGUAGUCUUCUCGUGGCAUCUGAACUGGGCCACCCUAUGGAUUCAUUCAGUGUGAUUCAUUGUAAAACACAGCAAAUAUUGCCCAUACUCUUCCCCCACCCACCCUGCAUUGCUUUUGCAAAGAUUCUCAGCUGCACAGCAACCUUAAAGAACUGUUUAAGGAAGGAAAUGAUGAAAUCUAUUAUUAUCAAAUGCUUCAUGUCAACAGCUCUCUGAGUUGGUAUAAUACCUUUUUACCCUCCAGGGUUGAGCAGCGCUUUCUAAACCUCUUGCCUUUCCGAUAUAUAUCCUUAGGUACAGCAUAAUUAAAUAGCAUUAGGGAAUAAUCUAUUGUUCUGUGUGCUUGUCCUUUCCCAGACUAUGGAAAGUUUGGAGCAACCCUUUCCUUUCAAUAAUGCAGCACUGGAAACAUCUAUUGUCUUUGAAACCAUCUAUUUACAAAAGUUUGUUAUUUAUUACAUUUAUAUAUUUUCGUCCAAUGAGCUCAAGGCGGUGUACACUGUUCACCCCCUCCUUAUAUAAUUCCCACAACACCUCUGGGAGGUAGGUUAGGCUGACAGGCAAUGACUAAAGCAAAGUCACUGUUAUGUACUGAGUUGAAUAGGAUUCAGAAUGCAGCAGUCUGAUUGGUCCGCAGUAGCUACCCAAUCCAACUCCAGGAGGAAGUGAAUCCACAACCUGAUUGGCCUACAGGAGAAUCCUGGAACUAGCCAAUCACGUGGAGCCCAUUGUGUAAAUAAUGUAUAUAAAGAAGACAUUUUGGGGGAACUUCCCAUUCCUCACUACUAUGAGCUGAAUAAAGAGCAUGAAAUCC